CGUUGUGGGCCACAGCGUCCAGCCUCUGCCGGGCCACCUGGGGCUGGGACACCAGGGCCUCAGCAGAACAGGAGCGCAGCAACCUCAUCCUGUUUGUCUUUGGCCGCCCUCCUCCUCCUUCUCCAAGGGGCAUGCGCCUUUCUCGCUAUUUUUAGGUGCAUCUGCUCGAGCUGCUUGCUUUUGGGCAGAAGGUACCAGCCAGCGCUGCAGUCAUCUGACGGCUAUUUUGGUCCCGGGUGCCUGUUUGGCUCUGGUUGUGGGGCUGUCGGGAGGUGGCCACCCUGUCCCUUGUGCUUAGCUGGUGAAAGCAGAGCUGCCUGAGGGCUGGGCUGGGGGGUCUGCUGCACCCAGGGUGGAACAUGUCUGGGCCCCUCCGCAGAGAAUGAAGUCAGGCCCUGGGCACAAACUUCAUCAGGGGCCCCGGGGCUGGACUCCCACCCUUGACUUGUCUGGGCCCUGGGGAUGUGGUACCAGGAAUGGGGAUGGCCCUACUGACAAGUGUUUCUUCCAUUUGCUUCCUCCCUCCUCUUCCUCUGUCUUCCUUGAGGACCUGGGCAGGCUCUGGCUUCCCCACCUUCCACGGGAGGAACCAUGGCUGGAGUGAGCUGGGAGGACAUGUGACAUGGCCUGGUGGGCUGGGAAGGGCCGAGCUCAGAGCUGCCACCAGCCCAAGGGUCUGCCUGUCUUUGAGUCCAUCUCCUUAUCUACACUCAAGACCUGGCGGCAGGAGCAGAAACUCCAGUGAGAGUCGUGCACUCAUACCGCCGUAUCGGGAAGAAAGAAGCUUUGUCACCAGAGGCAGGCCUGGAGCUCUUUGCUGACAGACUCCUCGGUGCAGAGCUCUCCUUGGCAUGACGUCACCUCCUGCCGGGAGGGCACCGUCCCAUUGGCCACGCCCCUGCCACAACCGGGGUCCCACCUCACAACCUGUGGCCUCAGCCGCUCACUAGCAGUGCGCCCAGUUAAAAAGGAAACGGAAUCGAGGUUCCAGCUCUACUCAGAGGUACCAGUGCCAGAACACACCUUGGAGGGGCUGCGUGGGACCCUCACCUACCAGGCUAUGUUGCCAGGAAGGUUGCUGAGAUGCCCCCACAUGCCUGGGCCCCUGCACACUGGGGCAGUCCAUGUGCUUCCACUCUGGCAGGGCUGCAUUGCUCUUUAUUAGUGUGUAGUACAUUUUAAUAAAUGUUUUACCCCAAUUUCUGUACCAAAUUACAGAUUUUUAUUUUUAUGUCAGUGUUUAAGGGGAGCAAUAAAUCUAUUAAAGUUAUUACUUCGGUUAUUUGGCAAUUUUCAUAUAUAUAUAUUAGCUUAGGUAUAUUAUAUUUGCUGUAUUAAAUUAGGUCUAAAAUAGUUUCUAUUGUGGUAUUAAUUUUGAGGUAUCUGUGUCUAACAUUUAAUGAGUAUUUGUUAAACACCUAGAAUAUGUCUAUGGUUAUAGAUUUACCAUCUAUGAAGGGUCUCUAAAGCAUUCAUGAAUUACUUACCACUACUUAGGAUACUUAAUGCUUUGUGUUAGGGAUGAAGAUUUGAAUAUCAGGCUGCAUACUGUUGCCCUAAGUGGAACUAUGCUUAAGGCAGUGGACCAUCAAAACUUUGCUAAUACUCCCAUUGUAAGUGAGCCAGGUGGGUAAUUGAACUGUCACUAUAAUUGAAGCUGAUGGCCAUCUUCUUGCUCUUGAUUCCCUGCACCAGUCCAUAAUACCUUCCCAUUUUUUUCUUUAAGCUUUAUUUAAUAGUAGGAAAUACUGGGAAUAUUUAAUUGAACCAUUCUAGGAGUGACCAAAGAUUGAAAAUAACACGUUAAAAGUAAAAUUCACGUGUCAUUUGGAUAAAUCAUCAACCUGAGUUUGUCAGUAGUAAAAAAAGCAGAUAGGGAAAUUGAGGUAAAAUAAAAGUAAAAGGUUGCUUAUCAUUACACAAUAAAUACUAUAAUUUCCAUUAUAACCAGGCUGUUUCUAUCUUGCAAUCUAAUAUGUUUUCAAAAUAAUAUAACCAUUAGAUUUUUUCACUUUUGUUAGGAUUUCUACAUUAAUCCUUCCUUUCAAACUCUAUCAUUAGAUAUAUUUUAAAGCUUGACAUCAGCAAAGAGAGAUUUGGAGAUUACCAUGUUAUCCUCUUCUGAUUUUUUGGUCUCAAUUUGAGGUUUGCAAAGUGUUUCUUCCAUUUGAAAAUAUCUUUAAGCAUCAUCUUAAACUCUUGUUCUUUACUCCUGAUUCUUCUUCCUAGCAGUACAUCCUAAUUAAUUUCUUAAGAAACUUGGGUGUAAAUGUACAGAAGCUGGUUAAUAUACUCUGGCUAUGUGCUAUGUGGUUGACGCAUAUAUGUGCCCCUUUUGGUUGGUGAAAUUGCAUUAAUGAUCCUUUUAGCUUUCAUUGAUAUAUUCUGAUAUUCAUUUGAUUAGAAAAUAUUCCUUGGCUAAUUAUACUGCUCAGAAAGAAAUGUAUGAACUCCAGAAUUUCUAUGGGAUGGAUUCUUAUUUUUCCAUGUUUUCUAGUUUCUUAUUAUAGUUCAUAAAAUAGACUUCCUUCACAAUGAGAGUUUUUACACUUAGAACAAAGCAACUUCAGAUGUGACUGCCUUUAGAUAAUUUUAAAGGAGUGAGACAUUUCAAAGAAAUUCUUAGAGUUUUAGGCAUGCAUGUGCCAUCUUCAACUUUUAGAUCACUUUUAAAAUUUUUACUUACAGAUGUUUUGAAUUCUGAAAUGUCAUGAACCAGAACCUGACUUUGGUUCCAGGAGAAAGACCAGAGUAGCACAGGCCAAUAAAACGCUCCAUAGUGAUAGAGAUAUUCUGUGUUUGCAUGUCUUUUGAACACUUGAAAUGUGGCUAGUACAACUGAGGAACUGAAUUUUCAAUUUUGCUUCAUUUAAAUAAGUUUGCAUUUAUGGGGUAUUGGGGAGACUCGAUAGUAUGGGUGUAGUAACCACAUUGUUUUUCAUGUGAAACCUUCAUAAAUGGAGUCUAUAUCAAUAAUACCUUAAUAAAAAUAUUGUAUAAAAAAUAAGUUUGCAUUUAAAUAGUAACAUGUAGCUGCCCUUUUAGACAAAAAACAGGUAUAGAGGCCUGAUUCUUUUUAAUGCAAAUUAGAUUUACUGUCUUGGGAAAUAGAUGUUAUGUGCUCUUCUACCUUAAAUAAUUAGGGAUAAUGAAUUAAAGCAAACUUUUCUUACAGGGUAGGUAAGAGAACAAAACUUAAAUCAAUUGUACUGUCUUUCACUUAGAUAAAUACAGUUCUAAAUAAAUAUGACUUUCAUACCUUAUCAUAGAGGUUGAAAUAACUUGAAUUUUCUCAUAGGUGACUUUAUAUGUUUGUUCAUAAUUUGAUGAAGAAGAUCUGAAUUUUGUUGCUUUUCAGGCUGUGUGCAUGAUUGCACAAUUGUGUUUAUAAAAAUAAAAUGUGCCAUUUUUCUGAUUAUAAAAGUACAUGUUGAGAGUAUAAAAUUUCAGAAAUAUAAAAGGUGUAAAAGUAACUAUAGUCACUUGUUAAAGGAUACACAAAAU
This is a non-coding RNA of Manis javanica (Malayan pangolin), 3504 nucleotides long. Lineage: Eukaryota; Metazoa; Chordata; Mammalia; Pholidota; Manidae. The record is from RefSeq and is a predicted model, not a curated record.